CUGUUAAAUGGGUACAAUAAAUACAUAUCUCUGAAGGUUGCUGCGAUGAUUAAAUGAAAGAAAUACAUGGCGCAGUACCUGGUACGUAAUAUGUACCCAAUUAAAUAUAACUAUUUUUUAGGAAGUGACAGUAAUAGGAAGAACUCAUUAUGUUUGUUGAAUGAUUCUUACAUGAUACCUCUUAACACAGGUGAUUACAUGGAUCCAACACCUGAUCCCCAAGAUUGAAGAUGGAAAUGAUUUUGGGGUAGCAAUCCAGGAAAAGGUGCUGGAGAGGGUGAAUGCUGUCAAGACCAAAGUGGAAGCUUUCCAGACAACCAUUUCCAAGUGAGGGCAGCUAGAGGACCAGCAUUGGGGGCAGUAGGAGCAUUUCUUUGGGACCCCCCAAAGCUGGGCAGCCCUAUCAGGAUGAUGGGAGACUUUGGGAAGGGUCUGAGGGAGUACAUCUGCCUGAACACUCAUUCCUGUGGUAUUCCCUUGCUUCUG
This 486-nucleotide small RNA is filed under the name Pongo abelii (Sumatran orangutan). Its description in RNAcentral is "retained intron". The record is from RNAcentral. Lineage: Eukaryota; Metazoa; Chordata; Mammalia; Primates; Hominidae.